Molecule: ribosomal RNA, 842 nt
Filed under: Dictyocheirospora cheirospora
Lineage: Eukaryota; Fungi; Ascomycota; Dothideomycetes; Pleosporales; Dictyosporiaceae
Description: partial 18S ribosomal RNA
Source: RNAcentral
GGUGCCGAGCGGGUCAAAUCGAUAACACCGCCCGAUCCCUAGUCGGCAUAGUUUAUGGUUAAGACUACGACGGUAUCUGAUCGUCUUCGAUCCCCUAACUUUCGUUCACUGAUUAAUGAAAACAUCCUUGGCAAAUGCUUUCGCAGUAGUUAGUCUUCAAUAAAUCCAAGAAUUUCACCUCUGACAAUUGAAUACUGAUGCCCCCGACUGUCCCUAUUAAUCAUUACGGCGGUCCUAGAAACCAACAAAAUAGGACCGCACGUCCUAUUCUAUUAUUCCAUGCUAACGUAUUCGAGCAAAGGCCUGCUUUGAACACUCUAAUUUUUUCAAAGUAAAAGUCCUGGUCCCCAACACGCCCAGUGAAGGGCAUGCGGUUCUCCAGAAGAGAAGGCCCGGCCGGACAAGUGCACGCGGUGAGGCGGACCCACCAGCCAGGCCAAAGAUUCAACUACGAGCUUUUUAACUGCAACAACUUUAAUAUACGCUAUUGGAGCUGGAAUUACCGCGGCUGCUGGCACCAGACUUGCCCUCCAAUUGUUCCUCGUUAAGAGGUUUAAAUUGUACUCAUUCCAAUUACAAGACCCAAAAGAGCCCUGUAUCAGUAUUUAUUGUCACUACCUCCCCGUGUCGGGAUUGGGUAAUUUGCGCGCCUGCUGCCUUCCUUGGAUGUGUGAGCCGUUUCUCAGGCUCACUCUCCGGAAUCGAACCCUAAUUCCCCGUUACCCGUUGAAACCAUGGUAAGCCAAUACCUUACCAUCGAAAGUUGAUAGGGCAGAAAUUUGAAUGAACCGUCGCCGGCGCAAGGCCGUGCGAUCUGAGAGGUUAUCAUGAAUCACCAAGGA